UAGUGUAGCAAUACAUUGCCUAGAGUGACGUACGGGUGCGUAACACGUAUGCAAUCUACCUGUAACAGGAGGAUAGCUCGGGGAAACCCGAAUUAACCCUCCAUAAUAUAAUUGUGAGGCAUCUUAUGAUUAUUAAAACUGAGGUGGUUACAGAUGGGCAUGCGUCUGAUUAGUUAGUUGGCGGGGUAAUGGCCCACCAAGACGAUGAUCAGUAGGGGAACUGAGAGGUUGAUCCCCCACACUGGCACUGAGAUACGGGCCAGACUCCUACGGGAGGCAGCAGUAGGGAAUAUUGGUCAAUGGAUGCAAGUCUGAACCAGCCAUGCCGCGUGCAGGAAGAAGGCCUUCUGGGUUGUAAACUGCUUUUGUCAGGGGAUAAAACGACCAUGCGUGGUUAAUUGAAGGUACCUGAUGAAUAAGCCACGGCUAACUACGUGCCAGCAGCCGCGGUAAUACGUAGGUGGCAAGCGUUGUCCGGAUUUAUUGGGUUUAAAGGGUGCGUAGGCGGUUUUGUAAGUCAGUGGUGAAAUACUCCAGCUUAACUGGAGGGGUGCCAAUGAUACUGCAGAACUUGAGUACAGAUGAGGUAGGCGGAAUUGACGGUGUAGCGGUGAAAUGCAUAGAUAUCGUCAAGAACACCGAUAGCGAAGGCAGCUUACUGGGCUGUAACUGACGCUGAGGCACGAAAGUGUGGGGAUCAAACAGGAUUAGAUACCCUGGUAGUCCACACUGUAAACGUUGAUGACUCGCUGUUUGCGAUACACAGCAAGCGGCUUAGCGAAAGCGAUAAGUCAUCCACCUGGGGAGUACG
RNAcentral lists this ribosomal RNA (811 nucleotides) under uncultured Bacteroidota bacterium. RNAcentral's name for it is "bacterial SSU rRNA". It matches the Rfam family "Bacterial small subunit ribosomal RNA", at positions 72 to 884 of the family's 1533-position model. Lineage: Bacteria; Pseudomonadati; Bacteroidota. The record is from RNAcentral.